UGGGGAAUAUUGGACAAUGGGCGCAAGCCUGAUCCAGCAACGCCGCGUGGAGGACGAAGGUCUUCGGAUCGUAAACUCCUGUCAGACGGGACGAAGGGACCGGGGCAAAUAGUCUCGGUUCUUGACGGUACCGUCAGAGGAAGCGCCGGCUAACCCUGUGCCAGCAGCCGCGGUAAUACAGGGGGCGCAAGCGUUGCUCGGAAUCACUGGGCGUAAAGCGAACGCAGGCGGACCGUUAAGUCGAAUGUGAAAUCCCGGGGCUCAACCCCGGAAGUGCAUUCGAAACUGGCGGUCUUGAGUACGGGAGAGGUGGGUGGAAUUCCUGGUGUAGAGGUGAAAUUCGUAGAUAUCAGGAGGAACACCGGUGGCGAAAGCGGCCCACUGGCCCGAUACUGACGCUCAUGUUCGAAAGCGUGGGGAGCAAA
This 425-nucleotide ribosomal RNA is filed under the name uncultured bacterium. RNAcentral describes it as "bacterial SSU rRNA". It matches the Rfam family "Bacterial small subunit ribosomal RNA", at positions 355 to 772 of the family's 1533-position model. The record is from RNAcentral.